GUGCUCACUUUGGCAGCACAUAUACUAAAACCAGAACAAUACAGAGAAGAUCAGCACGGCCCCU
Ictidomys tridecemlineatus (thirteen-lined ground squirrel) is the source of this 64-nucleotide small nuclear RNA. The record is from Ensembl. Lineage: Eukaryota; Metazoa; Chordata; Mammalia; Rodentia; Sciuridae.